CUUCAAACGGAAUUCAGAAAUCCUUUUCCGGAAAAUAGCGUGUUUGGUAGGUCCGGAAAAUUAGGUCAAACUGAAAAUAUUUUCAGUUUGACCGUAAAAUAAGGCUUCUGGGGCGGAAAAUCAUUUCAGUCCUCAUUUUCACUUCAAACAUUUUCCAUUCUGCUCUCUCACACGCACUCGACACACACAGAGCUCUCCAAGCUUCGAUCCACACACCGAGCGAAGAAGCUCCAAGCUCCGAGCUCCAAGCCCCGAUCCACACACCGAGCUCCACCAUCUCCCUCACGCCAAACGCUCAAGCCCAUCUCCCUCACGCAGCUGAUCCUCUCCACGCACGAUGAAGAAAAAAACCAAAGCCGCAAUUCUUGCCUCAGUUGCAUCUGUCCUCCUUGUGGGGGUUGCAUUGUUAAAGAAAUUACGACGUAGACGUAGAGAACUGCCUAGGGCGCCUUAUGUUAACCAUGCCGCCGAGAGAGAGGAAUACAUAAAUAGUGUUUUGCAUGGAAGUGAGAGACAUUGUGUGAAUCAACUUAGGAUGAAGCCUAUAGCUUUCCACCACUUAUGUCACACCCUCACUGAGGGGGAGCACGUACGUCCGACUGUUCACAUGUCUGUUACGGAGCAAGUGUUCAUUUUCUUGCACAUUAUUGGUCAUAAUGUGAGGUUUCGUGUAAUGGGUAGUCGGAUCUAUAGAUCAACUGAGACUGUUCAUAGAUACUUCAAGAUUGUCCUUAGGGGGGUCCUGAAAUUAUAUAGAGCUCUAAUAAGACUGCGUAGCGAAGAUACACCUCCAGAGAUAAGGAAUAGCAGAAGGUUUUACCCAUAUUUUAAGGAUUGUGUUGGAGCAAUAGAUGGUACACAUGUUCGUGCAUCUGUGCCACCUGAAAUACAAGGAAGAUUUCGUGGUCGCAAAGAUGGAACCACGCAAAAUGUGUUAGCUGCCAUUAGUUUUGACUUAAAGUUCACCUAUGUGUUGGCUGGAUGGGAAGGCAGUGCACAUGAUUCACGUGUAUUAAAUGAUGCAUUUGCUAGGACAGGGGGAUUUUCAAUUCCCAAUGGUAAAUUUUAUCUUGGUGAUGCUGGGUAUGGUAAUAAAAAUGGAAUAUUGUCACCGUAUCGGAGUGUACGAUAUCACUUGAAAGAGUUUAGUGAUCGUCCUCCUGAGAAUGCGCAAGAAUUGUUCAACCUCCGACACUCUUCAUUGAGAACUACCAUUGAGCGAGGGUUUGGAGUGGUGAAAAAACGUUUUCGAGUGUUGGAUGCAGAACCAUAUUGGUCUUUCCCAACCCAAGUGAAAGUAGUGUUAGCGUGUUGUGUGGUUCAUAAUCACAUUAUGGGGGUUGAACCAAAUGACCAUAUUAUGGAAGAUGCAAUGAACCAAGUAGAGCUUAGUGACCACCAACAAGAAACACAAUCCCAUCGGGAGUCCGUCGAAGAUAGUAGAUCAUGGAAUGCUAAGAGAGAUGAGAUAUGCCAAGCCAUGUGGUCUGAUUAUAUCAGGAGUGAAGAGUAGUAUUUUAUUUAGAUUUCUAUGAUUGUAAUGUGUUUUUCCUUGUUGUUUUUUUGUAAAGACAAUGUAUGUAAUAUAGACUUUUGGUGAUGUAAUGAAAAAGAAUUUUUAGCAUUACAUUGUUAUUUGAUGGUAUUACAUUGUCAUUUCCAUAGUUAGCAUGUUCCAUUCUGUUGUACACAUUCAUAAGCGUGGUUGUAUGUGUGUUUGAUUUGUUAUUCAUGUUCCGAGCGUAAUUACUAAAUGCUACUCUGACUAUACUAUUUUCAUAUGUAGUAAUGUCAAAGGGGAAAGAAAAAGUUGGUGGCGGCAAGCAAUUUAGGUGGCUGCCACCUAUGCAUGAGAUGAUGCUAAAGAUACUUACAGAGGAGGCUGGAAAGGGCAAUAAGCCCUCUAAUACUUUUAGGGCCGGCUCCUUUGCUCUUGUAGCCAAGGAGAUAACGGCCCAUUUCGGGGUUGAGUGCCACCCUGUAUUUGUGGAGAACCGGAUGCGGACUCUAAGGUCCAUGUGGACAACUAUUCAAGAGCUUAGAAGGAAGAGUGGAUUCGGUUGGGACGAAAAUCUGAAAAUGAUAACUUGUGACGCAAAAACAUACCAAGAAGAAGUUAUGGCACAUCGGAAGCAUGCCGAGUAUCUGAACAAAAAAAUUGAGUUUUACGAUGAAUUAGCGAUUGUGGUGGGAAAGGACAUAGCCACAGGUGGCUUUGCUAAGUCCGGAGUGGAUAUCGAAAAUGAGCCAGAUAAUGGGGAUAAUGGGGAUAGUGCAGACUUUGUCGCAGAUAAUGUGGAGGAAUGUGUGGUUGAAAAGGGGAAGAACGCAAAGGAAUCAUCCACCACUGGGUCGGGAAUUUCCAAGUCCCGCAAAAGAGGGCGUGCAGCUUCUACUGUUGAUGAUAGUGUGCUGACUGAUCUGUCUGAUCAGCUGAAGGAAAUAGCUGGCGCUCUGAAAGAAAUUAAUCGGGGCCCGGUAGAUUAUACAACUUUGUAUAAUGAGGUAAUGGCUAUGAUGGCGGAGGGAUAUAGCGAAGAUAUGCUCGCUACUGCCUUCGACCAUCUUUGUGAGAAUGAGAAGACGGCACGUGGAUUUUUAGCCAAGAAUGCUAGGUUGAGGAAGCUAUGGUUAGAUGGUUAUUUUUUCUCACAAAUUUGAUUUGCUUAUUUCAUGUUGACUGUGAUGGUAGAUUUAGGAAUUAACUUAUGUUGUAGUAUUAAUAUUGACCUAUCAAUGUAUUAUAUAUGUACUCUUUUGUAUUAUUGGGACGAUAUAAUUGCCCAAAUUAUGUAUUUGUACUGUUCAGAUACCACAAAUAGGUAUCAUUUUUGUAUGCCAUUGAGGUGUAAUGCCAAUGGUGAACGAUU
Molecule: RNA transcript, 2870 nt
Organism: Quercus lobata
Lineage: Eukaryota; Viridiplantae; Streptophyta; Magnoliopsida; Fagales; Fagaceae
Exons: 5
Source: RefSeq, a predicted model, not a curated record